GCGCGUCGAUAGCACGUUGAAUACACCAGUUCCCAUUGGAUCAAUGAGGCUAAGCAAUGUUACGCGUGGUUGGUAUCCGGACUGGUGACUAUCUGAGCAAUGGCGAGCUGCUAGCU
Molecule: ribosomal RNA, 116 nt
Filed under: Diaphorina citri (Asian citrus psyllid)
Lineage: Eukaryota; Metazoa; Arthropoda; Insecta; Hemiptera; Psyllidae
Source: RNAcentral